AUUGAACGCUGGCGGCAUGCUUUACACAUGCAAGUCGAACGGUAACAGGCCUUCGGGUGCUGACGAGUGGCGAACGGGUGGGUAAUGCAUCGGAACGUGCCCAGAGGUGGGGGAUAACGCAGCGAAAGCUGUGCUAAUACCGCAUGUGAUCUGAGGAUGAAAGCGGGGGACCAGGCAGCAAUGUUUGGCCUCGCGCCUUUGGAGCGGCCGAUGUCAGAUUAGGUAGUUGGUGGGGUAAAGGCCUACCAAGCCGACGAUCUGUAGCUGGUCUGAGAGGACGACCAGCCACACUGGGACUGAGACACGGCCCAGACUCCUACGGGAGGCAGCAGUGGGGAAUUUUGGACAAUGGGCGCAAGCCUGAUCCAGCAAUGCCGCGUGCGGGAAGAAGGCCUUCGGGUUGUAAACCGCUUUUGUACGGAACGAAAAGGCUCUGGCUAAUACCUGGGGCUGAUGACGGUACCGUAAGAAUAAGCACCGGCUAACUACGUG
This 492-nucleotide ribosomal RNA is filed under the name uncultured bacterium. Its description in RNAcentral is "partial 16S ribosomal RNA". It matches the Rfam family "Bacterial small subunit ribosomal RNA", at positions 30 to 507 of the family's 1533-position model. The record is from RNAcentral.